Molecule: long non-coding RNA, 642 nt
Organism: Solea solea (common sole)
Lineage: Eukaryota; Metazoa; Chordata; Actinopteri; Pleuronectiformes; Soleidae
Exons: 5
Source: RefSeq, a predicted model, not a curated record
CUGACUUCCCUGAAGGAAGAACCCAAGAUCUUCUGGAAGAAGAGAGAUUAGCCAUUAUGGAAGAGAUGAAGAAGAAAAAAGCUGAUAUAAAGAAAGUCAACGAAAUGAUGGUCAGCACCUUCUCCCUGCUUCUCCCUGCGACAAUAGCAAAUUGUAGAAGAGCCACCUGUGGCAGAGGUGAAGACCAAGUGGCCAGCUUUGUUCACAGAGCAACAGAUUGAAGCUGAAUUCACUCGAAUCACUUCAGCUGACUUGAGAGGGUCCUUUUUUUCUGGGCUGGGACAGCAUUUGCCUCGACUACUUCAGCUCUAUAGGGCCAGCAGCUUUCCAGAGCUGAAAAAUGUCCUAAGCAUGCUUGAGGAGGAUAAUUCCAACCAAACAAGAAGGGCUGUCAUUCUGAGGGGCCUGCCAUAUUUCCUCCGUGAAGAUCCUUCAAAGUUCCUCAGGACUGCAGAGCUUCUACCUGAAGUGUUAUUUCCACCAACAUCUCUCCUUCAAGAAUGAUUCAUCUUUGGGUGGGAGCCAUACAGACUCACAUGAGGUGCCAUGUCUCUGUUCCAGAGAGUAAGAGAAGUCCAGUUAAGGUCCAGGAGGAGGCAGGUGUAAUGUUCCCCAAGGCCAGACACAAGGGAAGAGGCUAGU